AGUAUAGUGUCUGAAAAAGAGUAAUUUUGAUAGAAUUAAGCAUGCAGAAAUUCUUCUGCCUUUACUA
This 67-nucleotide transfer RNA is filed under the name Chrysomeloidea sp. 7 KM-2017. RNAcentral describes it as "tRNA-Ile". Lineage: Eukaryota; Metazoa; Arthropoda; Insecta; Coleoptera. The record is from RNAcentral.